GACGAACGCUGGCGGCGUGCCUAACACAUGCAAGUCGAGCGAAUGAAGUUCCUUCGGGAAUGGAUUUAGCGGCGGACGGGUGAGUAACACGUGGGCAACCUGCCUCAUAGAGGGGGAAUAGCCUUCCGAAAGGGAGAUUAAUACCGCAUAAGAUUGUAGUAUCGCAUGAUACAGCAAUUAAAGGAGCAAUCCGCUAUGAGAUGGGCCCGCGGCGCAUUAGCUAGUUGGUGAGGUAACGGCUCACCAAGGCGACGAUGCGUAGCCGACCUGAGAGGGUGAUCGGCCACAUUGGGACUGAGACACGGCCCAGACUCCUACGGGAGGCAGCAGUGGGGAAUAUUGCACAAUGGGGGAAACCCUGAUGCAGCAACGCCGCGUGAGUGAUGACGGCCUUCGGGUUGUAAAGCUCUGUCUUCAGGGACGAUAAUGACGGUACCUGAGGAGGAAGCCACGGCUAACUACGUG
RNAcentral lists this ribosomal RNA (465 nucleotides) under uncultured bacterium. Its description in RNAcentral is "bacterial SSU rRNA". It matches the Rfam family "Bacterial small subunit ribosomal RNA", at positions 28 to 507 of the family's 1533-position model. The record is from RNAcentral.